AGUGAACGCUGGCGGCGUGCUUAACACAUGCAAGUCGAACGAGAACGGAUUAUAGCUUGCUAUAAUUGUCAGCUAAGUGGCGCACGGGUGAGUAAUGUAUAGGUAAUAUGCCUCUUACUAAGGGAUAACAAAUGGAAACGUUUGCUAAUACCUUAUACUCCUUAUUAACAUCAGUUAAUAAGGGAAAGAUUUAUUGGUAAGAGAUUAGCCUGUAUUGUAUCAGUUAGGUGGUGGGGUAAUGGCUUACCAAGACUAUGACACAUAACUGGUUUGAGAGGAUGAUCAGUCAAACUGGAACUGAGACACGGUCCAGACUCAUACGGGAGGCAGCAGUGGGGAAUAUUGCACAAUGGACGAAAGUCUGAUGCAGCAACGCCGCGUGGAGGAUGACACAUUUCGGUGCGUAAACUCCUUUUAUAUGAGAAGAUAAUGACGGUAUUAUAUGAAUAAGCACCGGCUAACUCCGUGCCAGCAGCCGCCGUAA
This 484-nucleotide ribosomal RNA is filed under the name uncultured bacterium. RNAcentral describes it as "partial 16S ribosomal RNA". It matches the Rfam family "Bacterial small subunit ribosomal RNA", at positions 29 to 523 of the family's 1533-position model. The record is from RNAcentral.